GCGUAAGCGCACGCAGGCGGUCUGUUAAGUCAGAUGUGAAAUCCCCGGGCUUAACCUGGGAACUGCAUUUGAAACUGGCAGGCUUGAGUCUCGUAGAGGGGGGUAGAAUUCCAGGUGUAGCGGUGAAAUGCGUAGAGAUCUGGAGGAAUACCGGUGGCGAAGGCGGCCCCCUGGACGAAGACUGACGCUCAGGUGCGAAAGCGUGGGGAGCAAACAGGAUUAGAUACCCUGGUAGUCCACGCCGUAAACGAUGUCGACUUGGAGGUUGUGCCCUUGAGGCGUGGCUUCCGGAGCUAACGCGUUAAGUCGACCGCCUGGGGAGUACGGCCGCAAGGUUAAAACUCAAAUGAAUUGACGGGGGCCCGCACAAGCGGUGGAGCAUGUGGUUUAAUUCGAUGCAACGCGAAGAACCUUACCUGGCCUUGACAUCCAGAGAACUUAGCAGAGAUGCUUUGGUGCCUUCGGGAACUCUGAGACAGGUGCUGCAUGGCUGUCGUCAGCUCGUGUUGUGAAAUGUUGGGUUAAGUCCCGCAACGAGCGCAACCCUUAUCCUUUGUUGCCAGCGGCUCGGCCGGGAACUCAAAGGAGACUGCCGGUGAUAAACCGGAGGAAGGUGGGGAUGACGUCAAGUCAUCA
Molecule: ribosomal RNA, 636 nt
Filed under: Pantoea dispersa
Lineage: Bacteria; Pseudomonadati; Pseudomonadota; Gammaproteobacteria; Enterobacterales; Erwiniaceae
Description: bacterial SSU rRNA
Rfam family: Bacterial small subunit ribosomal RNA
Source: RNAcentral